CACAUACCCAAGCUAAGGUUUGUACACAGAGCCAACUCAAGCCAAGCUGAUCUCUCAAGCUAGUAAGAAACAGCGGUGGGAGACUGAGGUGUACCCGGCAAAGUCAGCAGCCAGGCCUGGGCUUCCUGAAAGGAAAGAAAAGGCACCUGCAGAGUUUCCAGAGAACCAGAGGACCAGUUCCCUGAAAGACACACUUUGAUGACUUAGGAGAGCUGAUCCUAUCAAAAAACGAUCUCUCGAGGCAACCUGUUUAUUGUAGAAUAUCUAGGAAGAAUACACAAGCCAAGAGCAGAAGAUAAAUACUGUCCAUCACCCUGUGACCCAGGCGGACCUCCGUCCCUGUGUCAGUGAUGCCCCCACAGAAGACCCUGCUGCAGCUCAACCUCACUGCCUCCAAGUCUCAUUCCAUAUCCCCAAGAGCCACAGCAGCACAUUCAAUCUAGGUCUGAUCACCAGGGUCAGAUGACCCCCAAGGAGGCUCCAGAAACCCCCCUCAGAUGAAGAAACUGAGGCUGGUGUUCUAGGACAUGGCAGAAGACACACACCUGGUUCCAGAGGAGGCGUUUGUAGCCUUUGUACAAAACAGCACAUAAAUUCAAAGGUUGGCUGGGAGGUCCUGUUUGGCUGAUGGUGCUGAGCUCAUUUGCAUGUCUGUGGUCAGCUGGCAGAGAAAUGGCAGCCCCAACUCUCCACUUGGUUCUCACUGAAGAGAGAAAUGUGCCAGUUGAUUGGGAAACUGAAGUUCAGAGAGGAGAAAUCACCUUGACUCACCAAGGACACACUGGGAGAAAGUGCUGGAGAGACACAUUUUUAACCCUGUGUUAGCUUCAUUCUGAAGACUCUGCUUCAUUGGUGGAA
Long non-coding RNA from Suricata suricatta (meerkat), 858 nucleotides. RefSeq lists it as uncharacterized. The transcript has 8 exons. The record is from RefSeq and is a predicted model, not a curated record. NCBI's taxonomy places the organism in Eukaryota, Metazoa, Chordata, Mammalia, Carnivora, Herpestidae.